AGUGAACGCUGGCGGUAGGCCUAACACAUGCAAGUCGAACGGCAGCACAGUAAGAGCUUGCUCUUACGGGUGGCGAGUGGCGGACGGGUGAGGAAUACAUCGGAAUCUACUUUUUCGUGGGGGAUAACGUAGGGAAACUUACGCUAAUACCGCAUACGACCUACGGGUGAAAGCAGGGGAUUUUCGGACCUUGCGCGAUUGAAUGAGCCGAUGUCGGAUUCGCUAGUUGGCGGGGUAAAGGCCCACCAAGGCGACGAUCCGUAGCUGGUCUGAGAGGAUGAUCAGCCACACUGGAACUGAGACACGGUCCAGACUCCUACGGGAGGCAGCAGUGGGGAAUAUUGGACAAUGGGCGCAAGCCUGAUCCAGCCAUACCGCGUGGGUGAAGAAGGCCUUCGGGUUGUAAAGCCCUUUUGUUGGGAAAGAAAAGCAGCAGGUUAAUACCCCGCUGUUCUGACGGUACCCAAUGAAUAAGCACCGGCUAACUUCGUG
RNAcentral lists this ribosomal RNA (492 nucleotides) under uncultured bacterium. Its description in RNAcentral is "partial 16S ribosomal RNA". It matches the Rfam family "Bacterial small subunit ribosomal RNA", at positions 29 to 507 of the family's 1533-position model. The record is from RNAcentral.